UCUAAAAGAAAUACUAGUUCAAUCUAAGUUUUGAUAAUUACCUUCCCAACAAUGAAAUAUAUAAUCACUUUUAAAGCAGAAAAAGACGGCGCAUCACUUUGCUUCAAUUCUUGCAGCAUCUACUCUUGGUCGGUUGCCUUAACAAUAACAGAUUUUUCAUUUCCCAUUUCUCGGGUUUAGUGAACUCAAAACGGGGGAUUAAGUGAAUUUGCAGGAGUGUUUGAGUCAACAUCCAAUGCUGCCGCUUUCCCCAACAAAGAUUUGUGUUUGUGAAGGAUUGAAAUCCUUUUCUCCACAUGGGAUGAGAUUUGAUUCCAACUGCUUUAGUCUUGACUUAGCUUCCUCUAAUUCAUGUCUUUACCUUAACAAUGUUGGAAACUCUAAACUGUUUCUGUCUGCUUCUCGGUCGUUACAUCGAUCUGGAUUGCAAAAUUUAAGACAAUGCGGGCUGAGCAGUUACCGAGUUAGGGUGAAAGAUGGAGCACACUGUCUAGGAUCAGAUAACAUCACGUUUGUAGAUGACCAGCAAGUGGAUUUUCUCAUGAACACAGUUGAUAAUGCCGAGGCGCUUCCUGUUGAAUCAGUUGUGCAGCCUUCUCAUCUGCUAUCUCAUUCAUUCGACAUGGAUGAAGAUUCACUAUCGUAUCUGGAGGCAAAAUUGUCUGAUAUUGUUUCCAUUUUGCGCGAAUCUGCUGCUGAUGCAUCUAAGAUAGGAGAAAGUGUUCUGAAAAAUACCAAUCGAGCAGUUAGCGAUUCCAUCGAUGAGAUUAUCUUGUUUGUCAAAAAAUCUGCAGGAUCACAGUCGCCCGGUGGUAUGUUGUCUGGACUAUCUAGUGAGUUGAAGGAAGCAUCGGGCAGAGCCGGGCCUUUUGCACUUGAUGUUUUAAGGGGAACAAUUGUUGUAGGUGAAGACUCUUUGAUACGAGGGGGGAAAGCUGUCGCAUAUGCUUACAGUUUCGUGAAGGGAUAUCUCCCUCCACAAGUCCGAGAAGCAUUUGGUGUAUCCGAAGAAAGAGUAGAGAAAGUACUAUAUCCUGUUGGAACUGCACUUCAUCAGGUUUACAUGUCAGUGGAGGGAUUUGAAGAAAGUCUUGGCCUCGACCCUAAUGAUCCACUCGUUCCUUUUGUUCUUUUCCUUGGACUCUCGGUGACUCUAUGGGCUUCUUAUAGGAUAGUAAAAUAUAGUGGAUAUGCAGGAGAUAUGUCUCCUAAGUCGGCUCUGGAGCUCGUACAAGGGAAUGAAAAUGCUGUUCUUGUAGACAUUCGACCUGAGAAUUUCAAGGAAAGAGAUGGCGUUCCUGAUCUUCGAAGGGCAGCUCGAUUUCGAUAUGCCAGCGUGACACUUCCUGAGGUUGAUCGCUCCAUGAAGAAGUUGCUGAAGGGGGGAAGAGAUAUUGAAUACACAUUGCUAGCUGCCGUUAUCCGUAACCUUAACAUAGUUGAUGAAAGGUCUAAAGUUUUAGUUAUGGAUGCUGAUGGAACUUUCUCUAAGGGCGUCGCGAGAUCACUGAGAAAGCUUGGGACUAAGAAACCUUAUAUUGUCAAAGGUGGCUUUCGGGCUUGGGUUAAAAACGGGUUACGUAUUAAGAUGGCAAAACCCGAGACAGCAUUUACAAUACUUAAUGAGGAGGCUGAAGCGAUAUUGGAGGAAAUUAAGCCAACUCCGUUGAAAACCAUUGGGUAUGGAGUGGGUUUUGCUGCAGCCAUCUAUUCAAUAGUAGAAGGUAGAAACUUUCGAUGGCUAACAAUGCAUGAAUCUCUAUGGAGUUGAAUAUUUCACCACAACUUAGAAGAAUUUGGUGAAAAACAGUUCCAGGUUUGUAAACGAAGAAUAAUAUCCAAAAACAUGUAAAUGCGUGGAAUCAGGAACAGAGUCAGGUGUAUUUUGGACGAAGUUAUAGACUGUAGCCUCAGUACAUCAUUUGUACGAGUGAAACCACUUCAUUCGGCCACAAAUUUGUUUUUCGAUCGUUGGUGGCCUCAGUUUUCCUCGAGAUUAAGCUGUGCUUGGACCUUCUGUUAAAGUAAUGUUAAAUGGCUGUAUAUCAUUUCAUUUGUCAUGUCAAGUUUAACAAUUCUUCUCCCUUCCUGCAGAAUGGGAGACGACUCUGCAGUUUAUCGGUGUUAUUGGUCUGGGCCAGAGCCUAAUCCGACGAGUUGCUUCAUACGAGAACGUAGAAGAUUUGAAGCAGGACGUGAGGCUGCUGCUAACUCCAGUGAGACUAGGCGGCCGGGCAAUCUC
This is an RNA transcript of Salvia splendens (bonfire salvia), 2242 nucleotides long. RefSeq lists it as uncharacterized. The record is from RefSeq and is a predicted model, not a curated record. Lineage: Eukaryota; Viridiplantae; Streptophyta; Magnoliopsida; Lamiales; Lamiaceae. The transcript is spliced from 12 exons.